UCCUGUGCUGCUAUCGUCUUCCUUUCUUUCCUGAUUCUUGGCCCUGCUGGUGGCACUUAGGACUAAAGAGACUGCUCAGCCCUGGGUUAGACAACACCGUGGUAGAGAACAAUUUGUAUAUUGCCUUGAGGCGCCCUCCCCGCACCCCGACCUAGACUCAAACUACCCUUCAUGGAGUCUUUGCAUGACUGAAAGGUAUUGGUUUUCUGGAGCAUUCAUUAUGAAAAGAGAUGUGAGCUUGAUUUGUCAAAUGAUUUAACAUUUCAGUGACAGAGAUGCCCCGUGGAUAGGCCAUUUUGGUAUGUGUACUGGUGCUCCCUGCAUUGGAUUUUGAAAUUAUGAAUGGCACUGCCAUCAUUGUCCCAUCCCUUAUUUUGACCAUGACAUGCAAGAAGCACUAGGCACUGUGAACCUCUCCGUA
Molecule: long non-coding RNA, 421 nt
Filed under: Homo sapiens (human)
Lineage: Eukaryota; Metazoa; Chordata; Mammalia; Primates; Hominidae
Description: HSALNT0255398
Source: RNAcentral